CUUGAAAUACCACCCUUUAAUGUUUGAUGUUCUAACGUGGACCCGUAAUCCGGGUUGCGGACAGUGUCUGGUGGGUAGUUUGACUGGGGCGGUCUCCUCCUAAAGAGUAACGGAGGAGCACGAAGGUUGGCUAAUCCUGGUCGGACAUCAGGAGGUUAGUGCAAUGGCAUAAGCCAGCUUGACUGCGAGCGUGACGGCGCGAGCAGGUGCGAAAGCAGGUCAUAGUGAUCCGGUGGUUCUGAAUGGAAGGGCCAUCGCUCAACGGAUAAAAGGUACUCCGGGGAUAACAGGCUGAUACCGCCCAAGAGUUCAUAUCGACGGCGGUGUUUGGCACCUCGAUGUCGGCUCAUCACAUCCUGGGGCUGAAGUAGGUCCCAAGGGUAUGGCUGUUCGCCAUUUAAAGUGGUACGCGAGCUGGGUUUAGAACGUCGUGAGACAGUUCGGUCCCUAUCUGCCGUGGGCGCUGGAGAACUGAGGGGGGCUGCUCCUAGUACGAGAGGACCGGAGUGGACGCAUCACUGGUGUUCGGGUUGUCAUGCCAAUGGCACUGCCCGGUAGCUAAAUGCGGAAGAGAUAAGUGCUGAAAGCAUCUAAGCACGAAACUUGCCCCGA
This 612-nucleotide ribosomal RNA is filed under the name Salmonella enterica subsp. enterica serovar Senftenberg. Its description in RNAcentral is "partial 23S ribosomal RNA". It matches the Rfam family "Bacterial large subunit ribosomal RNA", at positions 2191 to 2802 of the family's 2925-position model. RNAcentral also lists the same sequence under 4 other names. The record is from RNAcentral. Lineage: Bacteria; Pseudomonadati; Pseudomonadota; Gammaproteobacteria; Enterobacterales; Enterobacteriaceae.